RNAcentral lists this ribosomal RNA (253 nucleotides) under uncultured bacterium. RNAcentral's name for it is "partial 16S ribosomal RNA". It matches the Rfam family "Bacterial small subunit ribosomal RNA", at positions 524 to 776 of the family's 1533-position model. The record is from RNAcentral.
UACGAAGGGGGCUAGCGUUGUUCGGAAUUACUGGGCGUAAAGCGCACGUAGGCGGCUUUGUAAGUUAGAGGUGAAAGCCCGGAGCUCAACUCCGGAACUGCCUUUAAGACUGCAUCGCUUGAACGUCGGAGAGGUAAGUGGAAUUCCGAGUGUAGAGGUGAAAUUCGUAGAUAUUCGGAAGAACACCAGUGGCGAAGGCGACUUACUGGACGACUGUUGACGCUGAGGUGCGAAAGCGUGGGGAGCAAACAGG